AUACGGAGGGUGCAAGCGUUACUCGGAAUCACUGGGCGUAAAGCGCGCGCAGGCGGCUAUUUAAGUUGGAUGUGAAAGCCUACGGCUCAACCGUAGAACUGCAUCCAAAACUAUUUAGCUAGAGUGUGGGAGAGGAGGAUGGAAUUAGUUGUGUAGGGGUAAAAUCCGUAGAGAUAACUAGGAAUACUAAAAGCGAAGGCAAUCUUCUGGAACACUACUGACGCUGAGGCGCGAAAGCGUGGGGAGCAAACAGGAUUAGAUACCCCUGUAGUCC
This 274-nucleotide ribosomal RNA is filed under the name uncultured bacterium. RNAcentral's name for it is "partial 16S ribosomal RNA". It matches the Rfam family "Bacterial small subunit ribosomal RNA", at positions 523 to 796 of the family's 1533-position model. The record is from RNAcentral.